CAGGUUUGAUCCUGGCUCAGGAUGAACGCUAGCUACAGGCUUAACACAUGCAAGUCGAGGGGAAACGACAUCGAAAGCUUGCUUUUGAUGGGCGUCGACCGGCGCACGGGUGAGUAACGCGUAUCCAACCUGCCCACCACUUGGGGAUAACCUUGCGAAAGUAAGACUAAUACCCAAUGACGUCUCUAGAAGACAUCUGAAGGAGAUUAAAGAUUUAUCGGUGAUGGAUGGGGAUGCGUCUGAUUAGCUUGUUGGCGGGGUAACGGCCACAAGGCGACGAUCAGUAGGGGUUCUGAGAGGAAGGUCCCCCACAUUGGAACUGAGACACGGUCCAAACUCCUACGGGAGACA
RNAcentral lists this ribosomal RNA (351 nucleotides) under uncultured bacterium. RNAcentral's name for it is "bacterial SSU rRNA". It matches the Rfam family "Bacterial small subunit ribosomal RNA", at positions 9 to 350 of the family's 1533-position model. The record is from RNAcentral.